Gasterosteus aculeatus aculeatus (three-spined stickleback) is the source of this 1167-nucleotide long non-coding RNA. NCBI's taxonomy places the organism in Eukaryota, Metazoa, Chordata, Actinopteri, Perciformes, Gasterosteidae. The record is from Ensembl.
GGUUAGGGGUUGGGUUAGGGUUUAUUGGGUUUAGGGUUUAUGGGGUUAAGGGUUAGGGGGUGAGGGGUUAUGGGUUAGGGUUUAUGGGUUAUGGGUUUAGGGAUUGGGUUAGGGUUUAUGGGGUUUAGGGUUUAUGGGGUUUAGGGUUUAUGGCGUUAGGGGUUUAGGGUUAAUGGGGUUAGGGGUUGGGUUUAUGGGGUUAGGGGUUUAGGGGUUUAUGGGGUUAAGGGUUAGGGUUAAUGGGGUUAGGGUUUAGGGGUUAUGGGUGAUGGGUUAGGGGUUAGGGUUUAUGGGGUUUAGGGUUUAUGGGUUAUGGGGUUAGGGGUUGGGUUAGGGUUUAUGGGGUUUAGGGUUUAUGGUGUUUAGGGUUCAUGGGAUUUAGGGUUUAUGGCGUUAGGGGUUUAGGGUUAGGGUUGGGUUAGGGUUAAUGGGUUUAGGGUUUAGGGGUUAUGGGUCAUGGGUUAUGGGUUAAGGGGUAGGGUUAGACACAAUUCUGCGUGGGUUUUCUCCGGGUCCUCCGGUUUCCUCCCACUCACCAAACUUUGGUUUACAAUUGGCAAAAAACAUAAUUCGUCUGUGUGGUUUUUCUCCGGGUCCUCCGGUUUCAACCACACACCCCAUAAAAAAAGAAUAAAGAUUUGGAAAUAUACAUUUUUUGUCUCUGCAUUUUAUUCAACAUUUCAUUGUCAUUAUCUGAUGUUACAUCAAAGGGAAACUGUUGAUCAUUUCUCUUGUUCCUUCACAAGGACUAAAGUCCUGAACAUUGAGGGCGCCUUUCGUUGUUGGUGGCAGGUGAUUGUCACUUUUAAUUCAAAUGACACUUUUAAGGUUCACAUAAUGGUAAUAAUUCUAUAAUAAGGUCCAAACCAAACCUGCUGUUGUUGAGUUUGAGGGAUUUAGAUCAACAAGCUUUUACAAAUAUGAGGUCGGUCGAAAAGAAAAGAACACUUUAAAUGUAAAUUGUGCAAUUCAACAAAAAGGACGGACGGAUGAGUCCUCCCUGAUAAAACGAUGGAGCUGAACGCAACGUCUCAAUUACAAAACGAUUAUGUUCCAGUAUUUUAACCAACAAGCUUGUGCACAUAUGAGGUAUAUCACAAAGGUCAGACAAUGUGUACACAUUCCUUUUCAAAGAGAGAGAGACAAAGUAGUUCCAGAGAUAGGGUC